This 265-nucleotide ribosomal RNA is filed under the name uncultured bacterium. Its description in RNAcentral is "partial 16S ribosomal RNA". It matches the Rfam family "Bacterial small subunit ribosomal RNA", at positions 1238 to 1500 of the family's 1533-position model. The record is from RNAcentral.
UACAGCGGGAGGCCAGGCGGCGACGCCGAGCGGAACCCGAAAACCUGUCUCAGUUCGGAUCGGAGUCUGCAACCCGACUCCGUGAAGCUGGAUUCGCUAGUAAUCGCGCAUCAGCCAUGGCGCGGUGAAUACGUUCCCGGGCCUUGUACACACCGCCCGUCAAGCCAUGGAAGUUGGGGGCGCCCGAAGCCACUUAGCUAACCCUUUUGGGAAGCGAGUGUCGAAGGUGAAAUCAAUAACUGGGGUGAAGUCGUAACAAGGUAUC